RNAcentral lists this microRNA precursor (84 nucleotides) under Bombyx mori (domestic silkworm). Its description in RNAcentral is "mir-2807 microRNA precursor family". It matches the Rfam family "mir-2807 microRNA precursor family". Lineage: Eukaryota; Metazoa; Arthropoda; Insecta; Lepidoptera; Bombycidae. The record is from Rfam by way of RNAcentral.
UUAACUCAGAUUUGUAUGGAGUUGGAACGUUUGCGUACGUUUGCCGCUAGGGGCGCUGUUCCAACUGCAUACAAAUUUGAGUGC